RNAcentral lists this ribosomal RNA (301 nucleotides) under uncultured bacterium. Its description in RNAcentral is "partial 16S ribosomal RNA". It matches the Rfam family "Bacterial small subunit ribosomal RNA", at positions 509 to 807 of the family's 1533-position model. The record is from RNAcentral.
CAGUCGCCACGGGAAUACGGAGGGGGCUAGCGUUGUUCGGAAUUACUGGGCGUAAAGCGCACGUAGGCGGCUUGGUAAGUUAGAGGUGAAAGCCCGGAGCUCAACUCCGGAAUUGCCUUUAAGACUGCCGAGCUAGCAGGUGAGAGAGGUAAGUGGAAUUCCGAGUGUAGAGGUGAAAUUCGUAGAUAUUCGGAAGAACACCAGUGGCGAAGGCGGCUUACUGGCUCAUACUGGACGCUGAGGUGCGAAAGCGUGGGGAGCAAACAGGAUUAGAUACCCGCGUAGUCCCUGUCUCUUAUAC